RNAcentral lists this ribosomal RNA (253 nucleotides) under uncultured bacterium. RNAcentral describes it as "partial 16S ribosomal RNA". It matches the Rfam family "Bacterial small subunit ribosomal RNA", at positions 524 to 776 of the family's 1533-position model. The record is from RNAcentral.
UACGGAGGGUGCAAGCGUUAAUCGGAAUUAUUGGGCGUAAAGGGCGCGUAGGCGGUUACGCAAGUCGGACGUGAAAUCCCAGGGCUCAACCCUGGAACAGCAUCCGAAACUGCGUGACUAGAGGAUAGAAGGAGAAAACGGAAUUCCACAAGUAGCGGUGAAAUGCGUAGAUAUGUGGAAGAACACCUGUGGCGAAGGCGGUUUUCUAUUUUAGACCUGACGCUGAGGCGCGAAAGCAAGGGGAUCAAACAGG